GACGAACGCUGGCGGCGUGCUUAACACAUGCAAGUCGAACGGUGAAGCGCCUUCCUUUUUGGUGGGUGUGGAUGAGUGGCGAACGGGUGAGUAACACGUGAGUAACCUGCCCCCUUCUUCUGGAUAACCGCAUGAAAGUGUGGCUAAUACGGGAUAUUCUGGGUCUGUCGCAUGAUGGGUCUGGGAAAGAUAUUGUUUCGGUGGGGGAUGGGCUCGCGGCCUAUCAGCUUGUUGGUGGGGUGAUGGCCUACCAAGGCGGUGACGGGUAGCCGGCCUGAGAGGGUGGACGGUCACACUGGGACUGAGACACGGCCCAGACUCCUACAGGAGGCAGCAGUGAGGAAUAUUGCACAAUGGGCGCAAGCCUGAUGCAGCGACGCCGCGUGAGGGAUGGAGGCCUUCGGGUUGUGAACCUCUUUCGCCAGUGAAGCAGGCCUGCCUCGUUUGUGGGUGGGUUGACGGUAGCUGGAUAAGAAGCGCCGGCUAACUACGUG
RNAcentral lists this ribosomal RNA (494 nucleotides) under uncultured bacterium. Its description in RNAcentral is "partial 16S ribosomal RNA". It matches the Rfam family "Bacterial small subunit ribosomal RNA", at positions 28 to 507 of the family's 1533-position model. The record is from RNAcentral.